RNAcentral lists this ribosomal RNA (500 nucleotides) under uncultured bacterium. RNAcentral describes it as "partial 16S ribosomal RNA". It matches the Rfam family "Bacterial small subunit ribosomal RNA", at positions 30 to 523 of the family's 1533-position model. The record is from RNAcentral.
AUUGAACGCUGGCGGAAUGCUUUACACAUGCAAGUCGAACGGCAGCACGGACCUCGGUCUGGUGGCGAGUGGCGAACGGGUGAGUAAUGUAUCGGAACGUGCCCAGUCGUGGGGGAUAACGUAGUGAAAAUUACGCUAAUACCGCAUACGAUCUAUGGAUGAAAGCGGGGGAUAGCAAGACCUCGCGCGAUUGGAGCGGCCGAGAUCAGAUUAGGUAGUUGGUGGGGUAAAGGCCCACCAAGCCAACGAUCUGUAGCUGGUCUGAGAGGACGACCAGCCACACUGGAACUGAGACACGGUCCAGACUCCUAAGGGAGGCAGCAGUGGGGAAUUUUGGACAAUGGGCGAAAGCCUGAUCCAGCCAUUCCGCGUGCAGGAUGAAGGCCCUCGGGUUGUAAACUGCUUUUGUACAGAACGAAAAGGUUUCUACUAAUACUAGGAGCUCAUGACGGUACUGUAAGAAUAAGCACCGGCUAACUACGCGCCAGCCGCCGCAGUAA